RNAcentral lists this long non-coding RNA (1412 nucleotides) under Phasianus colchicus (ring-necked pheasant). RNAcentral describes it as "lncRNA (ENSPCLG00000008613.1)". Lineage: Eukaryota; Metazoa; Chordata; Aves; Galliformes; Phasianidae. The record is from RNAcentral.
GGAACCUGAGGUUCCCAAUAGCUGAGUUAUCAUUUCAUCACCCCAUAAUAGCUCACAAGAAGACCUGCUGGGUAGCACUCGUGGUUAGCAGCUGUGUGUUGGCAAGAAAUGAUUGCUAGAGAAGAUAGUCAAUAUUCACUUGAAGUUGAUGCAAUUUGUAUAAAAAUUAGUUGCAAUUGCCAUGUUAAUUGGUAAUCAACACAAACGUUAACCCAUUUUAGAUCUCUCAUCACAUGAGUUCCCUACCUGCAGACAAACAGGCAAGGUUGUUCAGCUGCCAAGAUGGAUUUUUCCACCUCAGAGUCUGGGGAAUUAUUUGCUAACCAGCAAGGCUACCCAGCAUAGCAGUGGGUGUACACAGGAAGGCACAACAGCCACGGACACCAUGGUGGGUUCCUGGUGCUCCAGCACAGGGUCAUAGCAACCAUGUGGCUGCACCUUGGGAUGAUGAACUGAGAAGUUCCCACUUAGAAACUCUUGCAUUGCUCUGCUCCUCUGCACAGUGCAUGGAGUCCCACUCAGUGCUUUCAUCUUCGGUUCGCUCCAUCCAGACGUUCCCCGUCUUCAGUCACUCGCAGGAAUUACACAAAGCUUUGGCUGCAUGAGUUUGGGGUUGAUCUUUAAAGAAAAAAACAGACUGAGAAAAACUGCAGCUCCCUCAUCCAUCUUUUCUAUAGACUUCUUCAAAUAUUGGUAAAAAAGAAGCACCAGACCCUUUUGUAUGGGUGACUUAUGACAUACCUACUUUCUUCAGUAAAAAUGAGCUUCUCUCUUUUUCCUCCAAACUGAUUUCAGAUUCCCCUCUUCUGACAUCCCAUGCUAUUAAGGAGCCAUUUAUUAUCCAUUUCUUCACACCUUCAAAGAACAGAAUGCAAGUUGAUCAAUUACAAUUAUUGUGGGCCUUCCUUUUGCUCCUUUCCAGUUAAUUAAAUUUUAAAACUGAAAAGAUUGCACCAUAUUUUCAUAACCUCUGGGUCUUCAGAUGCACGACAAGCACACUGCUGACUUAAGUAGCCCUUUUUUCUUCUUUAAGAAAGACAAAAGUAAAUUCCAUUAAUCCUUAAGUAUAUUCACUUUCAGUAGUUCGAAGCACAGAGCAAUUUGAAGUGAAUAUAAUCAUCUCCCUGAGCACCACUUAAUAACUUAGCCAGUUCCAGCUUGUUUGGAGCCUUACUUCAUAGAAUCAUCGAAUCAUAGAAUGGCCUGGAUUUAAAAGGAGCACAAUGCUCAUCUGGUUCCAACCUUCUGCUAUGUGCAGGUCACCAACCAGCAGACCAGGCUGCCCAGAGCCACAUCCAGCCUGGCCUUGAAUGCCUGCAGGGAUGGGGCAUUUCAAAUACACGUUUCUCUACUAGAACUUAAAAAUUAUACAUACAAAUAAACGCAGAGGUCAUGUUGGGAGAUGCUGAGUU